GGACGGGUGAGUAACGCGUGGGUAACCUGCCUUGUACUGGGGGAUAGCAGCUGGAAACGGCUGGUAAUACCGCAUAAGCGCACAAUGUUGCAUGACAUGGUGUGAAAAACUCCGGUGGUAUAAGAUGGACCCGCGUCUGAUUAGCUAGUUGGUGAGAUAACAGCCCACCAAGGCGACGAUCAGUAGCCGACCUGAGAGGGUGACCGGCCACAUUGGGACUGAGACACGGCCCAGACUCCUACGGGAGGCAGCAGUGGGGAAUAUUGCACAAUGGAGGAAACUCUGAUGCAGCGACGCCGCGUGAGUGAAGAAGUAAUUCGUUAUGUAAAGCUCUAUCAGCAGGGAAGAUAGUGACGGUACCUGACUAAGAAGCUCCGGCUAAAUACGUGCCAGCAGCCGCGGUAAUACGUAUGGAGCAAGCGUUAUCCGGAUUUACUGGGUGUAAAGGGAGUGUAGGUGG
This 460-nucleotide ribosomal RNA is filed under the name uncultured bacterium. RNAcentral describes it as "bacterial SSU rRNA". It matches the Rfam family "Bacterial small subunit ribosomal RNA", at positions 100 to 578 of the family's 1533-position model. The record is from RNAcentral.